AGCGAACGCUGGCGGCAGGCUUAACACAUGCAAGUCGAGCGCCCCGCAAGGGGAGCGGCAGACGGGAGAGUAACACGUGGGAACGUACCCUUUGGUUCGGAACAACCCAGGGAAACUUGGGCUAAUACCGGAUAAGUCCGUAAGGAGAAAGAUUUAUCGCCGAAGGAUCGGCCCGCGUCUGAUUAGCUUGUUGGUGAGGUAACGGCUCACCAAGGCGACGAUCAGUAGCUGGUCUGAGAGGAUGAUCAGCCUCACUGGGACUGAGACACGGCCCAGACUCCUACGGGAGGCAGCAGUGGGGAAUAUUGGACAAUGGGGGCAACCCUGAUCCAGCCAUGCCGCGUGGGUGAUGAAGGCCUUAGGGUUGUAAGGCCCUUUCGGCGGGGAAGAUAAUGACGGUACCCGCAGAAGAAGCCCCGGCUAACUUCGUGCCAGCCGCCGCAGUAA
RNAcentral lists this ribosomal RNA (447 nucleotides) under uncultured bacterium. RNAcentral's name for it is "partial 16S ribosomal RNA". It matches the Rfam family "Bacterial small subunit ribosomal RNA", at positions 29 to 523 of the family's 1533-position model. The record is from RNAcentral.